Molecule: ribosomal RNA, 841 nt
Filed under: Salmonella enterica
Lineage: Bacteria; Pseudomonadati; Pseudomonadota; Gammaproteobacteria; Enterobacterales; Enterobacteriaceae
Description: partial 23S ribosomal RNA
Rfam family: Bacterial large subunit ribosomal RNA
Source: RNAcentral
GGUUAAGCGACUAAGCGUACACGGUGGAUGCCCUGGCAGUCAGAGGCGAUGAAGGACGUGCUAAUCUGCGAUAAGCGCCGGUAAGGUGAUAUGAACCGUUAUAACCGGCGAUUUCCGAAUGGGGAAACCCAGUGUGACUCGUCACACUAUCAUUAACUGAAUCCAUAGGUUAAUGAGGCGAACCGGGGGAACUGAAACAUCUAAGUACCCCGAGGAAAAGAAAUCAACCGAGAUUCCCCCAGUAGCGGCGAGCGAACGGGGAGGAGCCCAGAGCCUGAAUCAGCAUGUGUGUUAGUGGAAGCGUCUGGAAAGGCGCGCGAUACAGGGUGACAGCCCCGUACACAAAAGCGCAUGUGCUGUGAGCUCGAUGAGUAGGGCGGGACACGUGGUAUCCUGUCUGAAUAUGGGGGGACCAUCCUCCAAGGCUAAAUACUCCUGACUGACCGAUAGUGAACCAGUACCGUGAGGGAAAGGCGAAAAGAACCCCGGCGAGGGGAGUGAAAAAGAACCUGAAACCGUGUACGUACAAGCAGUGGGAGCACCCUUUGGGGUGUGACUGCGUACCUUUUGUAUAAUGGGUCAGCGACUUAUAUUCUGUAGCAAGGUUAACCGAAUAGGGGAGCCGGAGGGAAACCGAGUCUUAAUUGGGCGUUAAGUUGCAGGGUAUAGACCCGAAACCCGGUGAUCUAGCCAUGGGCAGGUUGAAGGUUGGGUAACACUAACUGGAGGACCGAACCGACUAAUGUUGAAAAAUUAGCGGAUGACCUGUGGCUGGGGGUGAAAGGCCAAUCAAACCGGGAGAUAGCUGGUUCUCCCCGAAAGCUAUUUAGGUAGCGCCUCG